UACGAAGGUUGCGAGCGUUGUUCGGAUUUAUUGGGCGUAAAGGGUUCGUAGGCGGCUUGAAAAGUCAGAUGUGAAAUCCCACAUGUCAACUGUGGAACUGCAUUUGAAACUUUCGAGCUGGAGUGUGAGAGGGGUGAAGAGAAUUCCGGGUGUAAGGGUGAAAUCUGCAGAGAUCCGGAGGAAUACCAGUCGCGAAGGCGCUUCACUGGCUCACUACUGACGCUGAGGGACGAAAGCUAGGGUAGCAAACGGG
This 253-nucleotide ribosomal RNA is filed under the name uncultured bacterium. RNAcentral describes it as "partial 16S ribosomal RNA". It matches the Rfam family "Bacterial small subunit ribosomal RNA", at positions 524 to 776 of the family's 1533-position model. The record is from RNAcentral.